CGAUUGGUCUAUGUUUUACUUCGUAAAAAUAUGCUCAGUAGUGUAUUGUUUCACGUGUUUCAUUAUAUGGAUAAUGAAUUUAUUGAAAUUAAUAAAGAGAAGAAUGAUAUAAAUAAAAAUCUUUUAAACAGUAUGAACGUAACUAAGGAAAUCUUCGAAGAAUAUUCAGCGAAUUAAUUAAAGAAAAAGACAUUGUUCCAUCGUACAUCAAAC
RNAcentral lists this unclassified non-coding RNA (213 nucleotides) under Bombus terrestris (buff-tailed bumblebee). Its description in RNAcentral is "misc RNA ENSBTSG00005035138.1". Lineage: Eukaryota; Metazoa; Arthropoda; Insecta; Hymenoptera; Apidae. The record is from RNAcentral.